Non-coding RNA from Oryza sativa Japonica Group (Japanese rice), 1660 nucleotides. The record is from RefSeq and is a predicted model, not a curated record. NCBI's taxonomy places the organism in Eukaryota, Viridiplantae, Streptophyta, Magnoliopsida, Poales, Poaceae.
GCCCCACUGACCGCCGCCGCUUGAGCUGACCUGACCCCGAGCCGAGCCGUACACCACCGGAGGAGGAGGAGGAAGCCGGCGAGGUGACGCUGCGAGAUCGGGAGGUAGGGUUCGGGGGGAGGUUUUGGGUUUGGUGGAUGGUCACGGCGGCGGCGGAGUUCGUCGAUGGGCAGGUCGUUCAGGGACUCGCUGAAGGUGCUCGAGGCCGACAUCCAGCACGCCAACUCGCUUGCUGCUGAAUUUAGAAGGGAAUAUGAUGGCGCCUGUCUUCAGAUGAGAAUGUCAUACUGUCCAGCUGCACACUUCUUCCUUUUUCUUGUGCAGUGGACAGAUUGCAACCUUGCUGGUGCACUUGGGCUGUUGAGGAUUCUCAUUUAUAAGGUUUAUGCUGAUGGGACUACCACCAUGUCUGCUCAUGAAAGGAAAGCAAGCAUUAGGGAAUUCUAUGCUGUCAUAUUUCCUUCUUUGAUGCAACUACAUGAAGGGAUCAAUGAAGUGGAAGACAAGAAACAAAAGGCAAUCUGUAUAGAAAGAUAUAGAAGACGAGAUGAAGAUCAGAAAAUGGUGAUUUCAGAGAUUGAUGAUAACAUCGAGGAGGAAUGUGGCAUAUGUAUGGAGAUAAAUGGCAAAGUAGUUCUUCCAACUUGUAGCCAUGCUAUGUGCAUUAAAUGCUACCGUGACUGGAGAUCAAGAUCCCAGUCUUGUCCAUUCUGCCGCGAUAGUCUCAAGAGAGUGAACUCGGCCGACCUAUGGAUAUAUACAGAUAACAGGGACAUAGUGGACAUAGCGACGGUCCGAAAGGAAAAUCUUAGGCGGCUCUUCAUGUACAUAGACAAGUUGCCCACGUGCUGUAGAAAUUGUGGAGCCCUUGGUGUUCAUGCUGCCCCGCUUGUAGAAGCUGUAAGCAGCUAAGCUCGCCGAGGAGGCUCGCUAUACAAAGGUAUAUAUGUAAAUUGUCUUGGCUGUAUGGUGUGUACCUUUGUGAGGAGUUAGGAGAAUCUGAUGCCAGUCAGUCUGUAAGUAAGGAAGAACCAGCAACCAUUGACUUUGUUUCUUUUAAUUGUAAGCAUUUCACUUUCACCCAUGAAACAGUGAAGAAUGCCAUCCUGACAGCUUGAUUGCUCCUGUACGAUGCUGUUGCUCGUUGUGAAUGGGGAGUUUUCAGUUCCUGGAAGAAGAAUCAAGAAAUGGAGGGCCACUGAUUUGAUCGUGCACAGAAGUGAGACAAGAGUCUGAACUGUAACCUGUCACAUGUGUGUCAUUUACUUCAGUGGGUUACUGGGCUCAGCUUCAGAACACUUCAGAGGGCUCCCGGAAUGGUCCAGCUUCAGAGUGAAAACGCCUGUCGGAGCGCGUGACAAAGCUCAAAGCAAUUUAAAGGAUUCCUCAUGAAGUCAUGACAAAAGAGACGGCUACAACCUUUUUCGGUCACACAGAAUUUCGUACCUCCAUAUUUUGCGAAGCUUCUUUUUUAAAAUAAUUUGGUAGAUAUGUGGUGCAAAAAAUUCCCUUAAUGUGGCUUAUAAUCCGAAGCAAAAUGCACUUCAAAGAUGUUUUGGAAAUGGUCAGUUGCAGUACGACUGUACAAGAUUGUAUAAAUAUAUUGUAGCUUUGAACUUUGAUCACUCAUAAUACAACUGGGAUGAGUCCGUUCAGGUUA